UGGGGGAUAUUGCACAAUGGGCGAAAGCCUGAUGCAGCGACGCCGCGUGGGGGAUGAAGGCUUUCGGGUUGUAAACCUCUUUCGCUAUCGAACAAGGCCCGCUUAGGGUGGGUUGAGGGUAGGUGGAGAAGAAGCGCCGGCUAACUACGUGCCAGCAGCCGCGGUAAUACGUAGGGCGCGAGCGUUGUCCGGAAUUAUUGGGCGUAAAGGGCUUGUAGGCGGCUUGUUGCGCCUGCUGUGAAAACGCGGGGCUUAACUUCGCGCGUGCAGUGGGUACGGGCAGGCUUGAGUGUGGUAGGGGUGACUGGAAUUCCAGGUGUAGCGGUUGAAUGCGCAGAUAUCUGGAGGAACACCGAUGGCGAAGGCAGGUCACUGGGCCAUUACUGACGCUGAGGAGCGAAAGCAUGGGUAGCGAACAGG
Molecule: ribosomal RNA, 420 nt
Filed under: bacterium
Lineage: Bacteria
Description: partial 16S ribosomal RNA
Rfam family: Bacterial small subunit ribosomal RNA
Source: RNAcentral